Podarcis lilfordi (Lilford's wall lizard) is the source of this 85-nucleotide non-coding RNA. NCBI's taxonomy places the organism in Eukaryota, Metazoa, Chordata, Lepidosauria, Squamata, Lacertidae. The record is from the annotation of a GenBank genome assembly.
AAGUUUGUUACUGGUAUGAGCUUUUGUGUGCAUGCACACUUCUUCAGUGUGCAUGCACACAAAAGCUUAUACCAAUAACAAACUU